AAAUAUUUAUGUAAUCAGAUCCCCAAGGGAUCUACGCAAUCAGCUCUCUCCCUUUUGAGUUUGUGUUUUUUUUCCGGAGGCUUAUUUAAGAAUUCUCUCCUUAUCUCAAGGUCAUUAAGGUUUUCUCUCUGAACCCAGAGCUCAUCUAUUUGGCUGUGUUGACUGAGCAGGAAUGAGGAUCCACCUGUCCCCACCUUCUAGAAAGCUCGAGAUGCACACCACCUGUUCCGGCUUUAAACUUCAGAUCUUGAAUGUCGUCCUCCCAAGACUCAUGUGCUGGAUGCCCAGCCAGUGGAGCUAUGGGGAGAUGGUAGAAUCCUUCAGAAAGCUGGCCUGAUGUGAGCCGACUUCUCCAAGCAAGAUAUAUGUACCAUGCUGCCGCCACAGGCCUGAAGCAACAGAGCUGGGGGACCAUGGAGCUGUACCCUUCUUCAUAAGUGUAUGUGUGUGUGCAUGUACACACACACUGACUAGGAGCUCUAGUUUUUGUCUGUGUCUAGUUAUAAUUGGCAGGUAAUAUUACAUGUUUGUAAGCACAAAAGGGGGCCGACCUUUCCCCGAUCUCCAGUAUUUGUAAAAAUCAAGGUUAUCAAUUUUAAUUAUCUACUUUAUGUAUGUAAGUACAGAUGGCUGUGGUUGUAGAGAAUUGAACUUGGGACCUCUGGUUCUCUCCAGCCGUAAGGUUAAUAAUUUAAUGACUAUGAUGAGGUGAGUGAUUUCACCACAGAAGGCUACUCUUUGCUUGUUUGUCCAGUGCUGGGAAUAGAACUCAGGACUGUAGCAAGAAGUAAUGGUAUCUCACUGGGCUACAGUCCCCAGACUCUCUGACAUAAUGCUUGGACUGAAGCUAAAAAUCUUCAAAUUUCUUCUCUCUGUUGUUCAUUCGCUUCUCAUUUCCAUACCAGAUGUUUGCCUCAGAAGUCUGUAGUCUUUGGCUCUUUGGUCUCAGUUUGAAGUCAUGGGUGGGUAUAUUUUAGGGAUCUCUGUGUAUGUCAACAUUUUCUUUCAUUUUUACGUUGGGACAGGGUGAGGAGGGAAUUGGUAAGGAGAGAAAACAGAAGGAAAGAGUGCAGGUCUCCUUGUUUAAUAUGCAGAAUUUCCUCUAGUCCUGCUAGAGGUGUUCUUGUCCAGCCUGUUGCCAUAUGAAACUCUGGGUCUGAGUCCUCCUCCAUAGUGACAACUGCUCACAAUGAACCCUCGCUGGUGCUUCUGAGUGUAGGGAAGGGGAUGGUCACCUCACAGUGAGCCUGAUGGGAGAUUUGUGGAGAGGGCUCCACCGUGAUCUAGGCAGAGAUUCAACUCUCCUGUUUCCAGUGAUCUGCCUGCCUCAUACCACCAUAUAUCAGGUGACAGGCGCCUUUUGGACAUCUAUAAUCCCGAUACUCUGGAGAUGAGACAAGAAAGAAAUAGAAUUAUACCCAGUCCUUGAAUUUCUACAGAGUUCUGUUCGUCUAAAUGUUAUGAGUUUUUUAUUAAAUAAAAAAUUUCAUCAAUAUAAAGUAUUGAAAGG
Molecule: long non-coding RNA, 1510 nt
Filed under: Mus caroli (Ryukyu mouse)
Lineage: Eukaryota; Metazoa; Chordata; Mammalia; Rodentia; Muridae
Description: predicted gene 20609 (MGP_CAROLIEiJ_G0004649.1)
Source: RNAcentral